Molecule: long non-coding RNA, 199 nt
Organism: Juglans microcarpa x Juglans regia
Lineage: Eukaryota; Viridiplantae; Streptophyta; Magnoliopsida; Fagales; Juglandaceae
Exons: 3
Source: RefSeq, a predicted model, not a curated record
UUUUGGCAUUCUAUUUCUGAACUGUGCAAAAAGAGCGAAUAUUAAAUCUGAAAAUUUGUGCAUGUUAAGUGAAGAUGCUCUGAAUCUGUUUUGAUUAUGUGAAAAUGAUAUGAUUAUGUUCAAUACUCUGUUUGACAUGGUGUGGCAUUUGAAAAACCUUUGGCAUGACAUUUUGAUUAUAAUUUGAUGACUAUGUUUC